CCCUUAGAUGUUCUGGGCCGCACGCGCGCUACACUGAUGCAUACAACGAGUCUAAAACCUGCUCUGAUAGGGGUGGGUAAUCUUUUGAAUGUGCAUCGUGAUUGGGAUAGAUGAUUGCAAUUUUUCAUCUUCAACGAGGAAUGCCUAGUAAACGCAAGUCAUCAGCUUGCAUUGAUUACGUCCCUGCCCUUUGUACACACCGCCCGUCGCUCCUACCGAUUGAAUGAUCCGAUGAAUAUCAUGGAUUGAGGAUGUAAGCAGGUUCGCCUGUCUUCAUCUUCGAGAAGUGAAGUAAAUCUUAUCAUUUAGAGGAAGGAGAAGUCGUAACA
This 329-nucleotide ribosomal RNA is filed under the name uncultured eukaryote. Its description in RNAcentral is "partial 18S ribosomal RNA". It matches the Rfam family "Eukaryotic small subunit ribosomal RNA", at positions 1470 to 1796 of the family's 1831-position model. The record is from RNAcentral.